This is a non-coding RNA of Equus caballus (horse), 717 nucleotides long. The record is from RefSeq and is a predicted model, not a curated record. NCBI's taxonomy places the organism in Eukaryota, Metazoa, Chordata, Mammalia, Perissodactyla, Equidae.
AGGAAGAAGAAAACAGACUUCAUUGACAAGGAAAAGUAAACAUUGCAUCUUGGCAAAAAUGCAGUUUAAAUAUUUAGAAUAUUGUGAUUCAUUGUUCAAUUAAGCACCAGUCUCAAAUUUUAGGACAGUCGAUGGAUGAUGAAGAGGAGAGGAGAGAAAAGUGCUUGUUUCCCUAGAGGUCUCAGUCUUAUUGCUCCUUCGGAAGAGAAGAGAUAUAGCUUAUACAGACUAAAAUUUGGGGACGAUGACAUGGAGGGUUUGUGCAAAGGCCAGAAACUGUGACAAAUUAUCCAAUUCCACAAAACCGAAGCUAGUCCACCGUCCUCUCUUCAAUCGAAGGGUUGUUCCCCUCCCAAAAAGAACCCAAACAAACAGAAAAGAAAAGAAUCUGUGACUGAGACUUUAUGGUCCACAAAGCCUAAAAUAUUUACUAUGUGGCCCUUUAAGAAGUUUGGCUGACCCUUGUUCUAUCUGAAGGGAGUAAACGGUCAACCAUGCAGGUCUUGGCAGUAACGAGGCACUUCAGACACGGUAACCUGGAGCCCAGAGUGGAAUUCAAUUUUUUUUCAGUAGGUAUAACUUUAUUAACUUGAAAAUGAAGGCUAAAUAUUUGGUUUCAGUUGGCUUACUCUAGCUGUGUUGUCCCAUUCUGUAGCCACUUGCCACAUAUGACUAUUUAAAUUUAAAUUAAGUUAAAUUAAAAACUCGGUUCCUUAA